UACGUAGGGGGCGAGCGUUGUCCGGAUUUAUUGGGCGUAAAGAGCUCGUAGGCGGCUUAGCAAGUCGGGUGUGAAAACUCCAGGCUCAACCUGGAGACGCCACUCGAGACUGCUAUGGCUAGAGUCCGGUAGGGGACCACGGAAUUCCUGGUGUAGCGGUGAAAUGCGCAGAUAUCAGGAGGAACACCGGUGGCGAAGGCGGAUCUCUGGGCCUGUUCUGACGCUGAGGCGCGAAAGCUAGGGGAGCGAACAGG
This 254-nucleotide ribosomal RNA is filed under the name uncultured bacterium. RNAcentral's name for it is "partial 16S ribosomal RNA". It matches the Rfam family "Bacterial small subunit ribosomal RNA", at positions 524 to 776 of the family's 1533-position model. The record is from RNAcentral.